RNAcentral lists this ribosomal RNA (253 nucleotides) under uncultured bacterium. RNAcentral describes it as "partial 16S ribosomal RNA". It matches the Rfam family "Bacterial small subunit ribosomal RNA", at positions 524 to 776 of the family's 1533-position model. The record is from RNAcentral.
UACGUAGGGGGCAAGCGUUGUCCGGAUUUACUGGGCGUAAAGAGCGUGUAGGCGGCCAAACAGGUCCGUUGUGAAAACUGGAGGCUUAACCUCCAGACGUCGACGGAAACCGUAUGGCUAGAGUCCGGAAGAGGAGAGUGGAAUUCCUGGUGUAGCGGUGAAAUGCGCAGAUAUCAGGAAGAACACCAAUGGCGAAGGCAGCUCUCUGGGACGGUACUGACGCUGAGACGCAAAAGCGUGGGGAGCGAACAGG